RNAcentral lists this ribosomal RNA (766 nucleotides) under uncultured Enterobacteriaceae bacterium. RNAcentral's name for it is "bacterial SSU rRNA". It matches the Rfam family "Bacterial small subunit ribosomal RNA", at positions 736 to 1502 of the family's 1533-position model. The record is from RNAcentral. Lineage: Bacteria; Pseudomonadati; Pseudomonadota; Gammaproteobacteria; Enterobacterales; Enterobacteriaceae.
AGUACUGACGCUGAGAUGCGAAAGCGUGGGGAGCAAACAGGAUUAGAUACCCUGGUAGUCCACGCUGUAAACGAUGUCGAUUUGGAGUUUGUUGCCUAGAGUGAUGGGCUCCGAAGCUAACGCGAUAAAUCGACCGCCUGGGGAGUACGGCCGCAAGGUUAAAACUCAAAUGAAUUGACGGGGGCCCGCACAAGCGGUGGAGCAUGUGGUUUAAUUCGAUGCAACGCGAAGAACCUUACCUGGUCUUGACAUCCAUAGAAUUCUGCAGAGAUGUGGGAGUGCCUUCGGGAACUAUGAGACAGGUGCUGCAUGGCUGUCGUCAGCUCGUGUUGUGAAAUGUUGGGUUAAGUCCCGCAACGAGCGCAACCCUUAUUCUUUGUUGCCAGCGAUUUGGUCGGGAACUCAAAGGAGACUGCCGUUGAUAAAGCGGAGGAAGGUGGGGACGACGUCAAGUCAUCAUGGCCCUUACGACCAGGGCUACACACGUGCUACAAUGGCGUAUACAAAGGGAAGCGAAGGUGCGAGCUGGAGCGGAUCUCAUAAAGUACGUCUAAGUUCGGAUUGGAGUCUGCAACUCGACUCCAUGAAGUCGGAAUCGCUAGUAAUCGUAGAUCAGAAUGCUACGGUGAAUACGUUCCCGGGCCUUGUACACACCGCCCGUCACACCAUGGGAGUGGGUUGCACCAGAAGUAGAUAGCUUAACCGCGAGGGGGGCGUUUACCACGGUGUGAUUCAUGACUGGGGUGAAGUCGUAACAAGGUAACCA